Molecule: small RNA, 21 nt
Filed under: Brassica napus (rape)
Lineage: Eukaryota; Viridiplantae; Streptophyta; Magnoliopsida; Brassicales; Brassicaceae
Description: PsRNA_53
Source: RNAcentral
AUUAUGGAGUGGGGAUGAAGA